GGCUCAGGAUGAACGCUGGCGGCGUGCCUAAUACAUGCAAGUCGAGCGAACGGACGAGAAGCUUGCUUCUCUGAUGUUAGCGGCGGACGGGUGAGUAACACGUGGAUAACCUACCUAUAAGACUGGGAUAACUUCGGGAAACCGGAGCUAAUACCGGAUAAUAUUUUGAACCGCAUGGUUCAAAAGUGAAAGACGGUCUUGCUGUCACUUAUAGAUGGAUCCGCGCUGCAUUAGCUAGUUGGUAAGGUAACGGCUUACCAAGGCAACGAUGCAUAGCCGACCUGAGAGGGUGAUCGGCCACACUGGAACUGAGACACGGUCCAGACUCCUACGGGAGGCAGCAGUAGGGAAUCUUCCGCAAUGGGCGAAAGCCUGACGGAGCAACGCCGCGUGAGUGAUGAAGGUCUUCGGAUCGUAAAACUCUGUUAUUAGGGAAGAACAUAUGUGUAAGUAACUGUGCACAUCUUGACGGUACCUAAUCAGAAAGCCACGGCUAACUACGUGCCAGCAGCCGCGGUAAUACGUAGGUGGCAAGCGUUAUCCGGAAUUAUUGGGCGUAAAGCGCGCGUAGGCGGUUUUUUAAGUCUGAUGUGAAAGCCCACGGCUCAACCGUGGAGGGUCAUUGGAAACUGGAAAACUUGAGUGCAGAAGAGGAAAGUGGAAUUCCAUGUGUAGCGGUGAAAUGCGCAGAGAUAUGGAGGAACACCAGUGGCGAAGGCGACUUUCUGGUCUGUAACUGACGCUGAUGUGCGAAAGCGUGGGGAUCAAACA
Molecule: ribosomal RNA, 771 nt
Filed under: Staphylococcus aureus
Lineage: Bacteria; Bacillati; Bacillota; Bacilli; Caryophanales; Staphylococcaceae
Description: bacterial SSU rRNA
Rfam family: Bacterial small subunit ribosomal RNA
Source: RNAcentral